AUUGAACGCUGGCGGAAUGCUUUACACAUGCAAGUCGAACGGCAGCACGGACUUCGGUCUGGUGGCGAGUGGCGAACGGGUGAGUAAUAUAUCGGAACGUGCUCAGUCGUGGGGGAUAACGUAGUGAAAAUUACGCUAAUACCGCAUACGAUCUAUGGAUGAAAGCGGGGGAUCGCAAGACCUCGCGCGAUUGGAGCGGCCGAUAUCAGAUUAGGUAGUUGGUGAGGUAAAGGCUCACCAAGCCAACGAUCUGUAGCUGGUCUGAGAGGACGACCAGCCACACUGGAACUGCGACACGGGCCAGACUCCUACGGGAGGCAGCAGUGGGGAAUUUUGGACAAUGGACGCAAGUCUGAUCCAGCCAUUCCGCGUGCAGGACGAAGGCCUUCGGGUUGUAAACUGCUUUUGUACGGAACGAAAAGGUCUCUAUUAAUACUAGGGGCUCAUGACGGUACCGUAAGGAUAAGCACCGGCUAACUACGUGCCAGCAGCCGCGGUAA
This 500-nucleotide ribosomal RNA is filed under the name uncultured bacterium. RNAcentral describes it as "partial 16S ribosomal RNA". It matches the Rfam family "Bacterial small subunit ribosomal RNA", at positions 30 to 523 of the family's 1533-position model. The record is from RNAcentral.